UACGAGGGGCCCAAGCGUUAUUCGGAAUUACUGGGCUUAAAGAGUUCGUAGGCGGCGCAGAAAGUAGGGUGUGAAAGCCCUCGGCUCAACCGAGGAAUUGCGCUCUAAACUACUGUGCUUGAGGAAGCUAGAGGUGAGCGGAACUGAUGGUGGAGCGGUGAAAUGCGUUGAUAUCAGCAGGAACACCGGAGGCGAAGGCGGCUCACUGGGGCUUUUCUGACGCUGAGGAACGAAAGCCAGGGGAGCGAACGGG
Molecule: ribosomal RNA, 253 nt
Filed under: uncultured bacterium
Lineage: Bacteria
Description: partial 16S ribosomal RNA
Rfam family: Bacterial small subunit ribosomal RNA
Source: RNAcentral